UUACCUGCCCUAUUGUUUCUUGUCCACCUUUGUCUGUAUUUAAGUUUGCCUUCGUCCUUUGUUCCACGCGGUGUCGUUAUGUCUCUUUGGAUUUUGUUCUUGCUGCGGAUCCUGUUAAAUUCUAGUUUGAAGAUGCCUUGUAAUCAGGAUUAUCCUGUCAUCCAGAACCUCGCCUGCAUAACAGUCAUCUGCAAAAAGAGACCGACCAAUAUCCCCUGGAACAGCAGAAAAUUUGUCAUUGAUCAUGAUAAUGAAGAGCAAAGGACUAAUGCAGCUUCCCUGUGGAGUACCAUUAUCAACUGUGUAUUUGCUAGACAAAGCUGAAUUGAUUCAAAACUGAAUCUGUCUACCAAAAGUCUGACCCAAUUAAAAACCCUGGCACCAACCAUCAA
Girardinichthys multiradiatus is the source of this 392-nucleotide long non-coding RNA. RefSeq lists it as uncharacterized. NCBI's taxonomy places the organism in Eukaryota, Metazoa, Chordata, Actinopteri, Cyprinodontiformes, Goodeidae. The record is from RefSeq and is a predicted model, not a curated record. The transcript has 2 exons.